AUUGAACGCUGGCGGCAGGCCUAACACAUACAAGUCGAACGAGUGGCGGACGGGUGAGUAAUGUCAGGGAAACUGACUGAUGGAGGGGGAUAACUAAUGGAAAAGGUAGCUAAUAACGCAUACCAUCAGAUGUGCCCAUAUGUGAUUAGCUUGGUUGUGGGGUAACGGCUCACCAAGGCGACGAUCCCUAGCUGGUCUGAGAGGAUGACCAGCCACACUGGAACUUCGACACGGUCCAGACUCCUAAGGGAGGCAGCAGUGGGGAAUAUUGCACAAUGGGCGCAAGCCUGAUGCAGCCAUGCCGCGUGUAUGAAGAAGGCCUUCGGGUUGUAAAGUACUUGCAGCGGGGAGGCGUUACCAGCAGAAGAAGCACCGGCUAACUCCGUGCCAGCAGCCGCGGUAAUAC
RNAcentral lists this ribosomal RNA (406 nucleotides) under uncultured bacterium. Its description in RNAcentral is "partial 16S ribosomal RNA". It matches the Rfam family "Bacterial small subunit ribosomal RNA", at positions 30 to 526 of the family's 1533-position model. The record is from RNAcentral.